UGGAGCCAAAUUCAUUGAAUGAAAAUAAAAUAUUGCAUCCGACAAUUGAACCGAACCGGCUAUCAGCAUCUUUAUUUAUUUAUUAUUAUUUUUUUUUUUUUGUUCCAUCUCGUGAAGAACAUCAACAAUAUCAUGAACUGAGAAGUUUGAUUUCUGUUGCUGAAAGAUGAUGAUUUCAAAGUAGAUGGUUGUGAGGGAGUCAAGAAUUUUUGAAGAAUCAACAAAUAUGUUGGAUUACUGACUGUCAGGUUAGGUAUACGUGUAUCUGUACAUAUAUAUAUAUAUAUGUGUGUGUAUAUAUAUAUAUAUAUAUAUAUAUAUAUUAUAUAUAUGUUGUAAAGGUUUGGUUUCUUUGAGUAACUGUGAGAGAAAAAAUUGUUUUAAAAAUUACAAAUGGUUAUUGUGUUAAUCUCUGAGACAAACUUCAGACAUUGUUGCUUUUAUGAUGGUGGGGUGGGGAAUUAAAUAUAGUUAUUGUUAUUUAUUAUUCUUAUGAUUAUUAUUAUUAUUGUUAUUAUUAUUAUUAUUGGCAAUAUCUUUAGGAUGUUGGACAAAAUACCUCACAGUAUUUUUUUCUGCUCUUUGAGGUAACAGUUCAAUCCUCUCCACGGUCAACGUUGCCUUUCAUCCUUCCAGGAUUGAUAAAACAAAGUACCAGUUGAAUACUGGGAUCGAUAUAGUUGAUUGUUCUCUCCCACAAAAUGUCUGGCCUUGUGCCUAUUUAAGACGUUAUUACCAUUAUUGAGGCAGUGAGCUGGCAGAAUUGGUAACACACCAGGCAAAAUGCUUGGCGGCGUUUCAUGUCUUUACAUUCUGAGGUCAAAUGCUGUUGAACUUGACUUCGCGUAUCAUCCUUUCAGGGUCAAUAAAAUAAGUACCAGUUAUGCAUUGGGGUCAAUGUAAUCAACUUACCCCACUCUCCCAAACUUACUGGUCUUGCACUAAAAUUUGAAACUAUUGUUAUAACUAUUAUUAUUGUUCAAUGACUAUUCCACCGAGGUCAACUUUGCCUUUAAUCCUUUCAGGGUCGAUAAAUUAAGUACCAGUGAAAUACUGGGGUCAAUGUAAUCAACUAGUCCCCUCCUUCAAAAUUUCAAGGCCUUGUGCCUUCAGUAGAAAGGAUUAUUGUUAAAUGACUGUAUUCUUGUCAUUUUGUACAUAACUUAAGGCGAAAUCCCCGUUUAGAAGCAUAAGCAACCAUUCUAACCAUUAUUGUGGCUGGUUCUGUGUAAAUUCUCAGCAAUAACAGUUCCCAACAUGAAUUCAUUUCCAUUUUGGAAUUGUCUUACAAUGUUAACAUAUUUAGCAAAAGCAAAAACAAAAAAAAAUUCAUUGUUUUAGAUUUUGCCCUUUGAAAUAAUUAUAAAAUUUUGAAAUCGUACCUGUCUAAGAAAUAAUUCUUUUUCUAAUCAGUUUUGCCCCUUCAUCCUUUCUAAGCAUCUUCUCUCAUCAAUGUGUCAAUUUGAUUGACUAUACAUCUCUUCAGCCCAUUUUCUGGCUUUUGUUCUACUCGAAGAAAACAGUAUUAGUAGCGUACAGACAGUAGUAAAAUGUGAGCUGUAUUUAAUGCCUUACAAUACAUACCUUUGUUCCUCUCUCUACCUAAUUCAAAAAUCAGG
Long non-coding RNA from Octopus sinensis (East Asian common octopus), 1619 nucleotides. RefSeq lists it as uncharacterized. Lineage: Eukaryota; Metazoa; Mollusca; Cephalopoda; Octopoda; Octopodidae. The record is from RefSeq and is a predicted model, not a curated record. The transcript has 2 exons.